Molecule: ribosomal RNA, 484 nt
Filed under: uncultured bacterium
Lineage: Bacteria
Description: partial 16S ribosomal RNA
Rfam family: Bacterial small subunit ribosomal RNA
Source: RNAcentral
AUUGAACGCUGGCGGCAGGCCUAACACAUGCAAGUCGAGCGGAUGAAGGGAGCUUGCUCCUGGAUUCAGCGGCGGACGGGUGAGUAAUGCCUAGGAAUCUGCCUGGUAGUGGGGGAUAACGUCCGGAAACGGGCGCUAAUACCGCAUACGUCCUGAGGGAGAAAGUGGGGGAUCUUCGGACCUCACGCUAUCAGAUGAGCCUAGGUCGGAUUAGCUAGUUGGUGGGGUAAAGGCCUACCAAGGCGACGAUCCGUAACUGGUCUGAGAGGAUGAUCAGUCACACUAGAACUGAGACACGGUCCAGGCUCCUACGAGAGGGAGCAGUCGGGAAUGUGAGACAGUGGGCGGAAGCCUGAUCCAGCCAGGCCGCGUGUGUGAAGAAGGUCUUCGGAUUGUAAAGCACUUUAAGUUGGGAGGAAGGGCAGUAAGUUGAGACCUUGCUGUUUUGACGUUACCAACAGAAUAAGCACCGGCUAACUUCGUG